RNAcentral lists this ribosomal RNA (253 nucleotides) under uncultured bacterium. RNAcentral's name for it is "partial 16S ribosomal RNA". It matches the Rfam family "Bacterial small subunit ribosomal RNA", at positions 524 to 776 of the family's 1533-position model. The record is from RNAcentral.
UACAGAGGGGGCAAGCGUUGUUCGGAAUUACUGGGCGUAAAGGGCGCGUAGGCGGCCUUCUAAGUCGAACGUGAAAUCCCUGGGCUCAACCCAGGAACUGCGUCCGAUACUGGAAGGCUUGAAUCCGGGAGAGGGAUGCGGAAUUCCAGGUGUAGCGGUGAAAUGCGUAGAUAUCUGGAGGAACACCGGUGGCGAAGGCGGCUUGCUGGAUCGGUUCUGACGCUGAGGCGCGAAAGCCAGGGGAGCAAACGGG